UACGGAGGAUGCGAGCGUUAUCCGGAUUUAUUGGGUUUAAAGGGUGCGUAGGCGGGCUUUUAAGUCAGCGGUAAAAAUUCGGGGCUCAACCCCGUCCGGCCGUUGAAACUGGGGGCCUUGAGUGGGCGAGAAGAAGGCGGAAUGCGUGGUGUAGCGGUGAAAUGCAUAGAUAUCACGCAGAACUCCGAUUGCGAAGGCAGCUUACUAAGCCAUAACUGACACUGAAGCACGAAAGCGUGGGGAUCAAACAGG
RNAcentral lists this ribosomal RNA (252 nucleotides) under uncultured Bacteroidales bacterium. Its description in RNAcentral is "partial 16S ribosomal RNA". It matches the Rfam family "Bacterial small subunit ribosomal RNA", at positions 524 to 776 of the family's 1533-position model. The record is from RNAcentral. Lineage: Bacteria; Pseudomonadati; Bacteroidota; Bacteroidia; Bacteroidales.